This 473-nucleotide ribosomal RNA is filed under the name uncultured Syntrophorhabdaceae bacterium. RNAcentral's name for it is "bacterial SSU rRNA". It matches the Rfam family "Bacterial small subunit ribosomal RNA", at positions 335 to 798 of the family's 1533-position model. Lineage: Bacteria; Pseudomonadati; Thermodesulfobacteriota; Syntrophorhabdia; Syntrophorhabdales; Syntrophorhabdaceae. The record is from RNAcentral.
AUGCCUACGGGAGGCAGCAGUGGGGAAUAUUGGGCAAUGGGCGAAAGCCUGACCCAGCGACGCCGUGUGGGUGAUGAAGGCCUUCGGGUUGUAAAGCCCUGUCGGGUGGAAAGAAGGGCUCAGAGACGAAUAAUCUUUGAGCCUUGACGGUACCACCGGAGGAAGCACCGGCUAACUCCGUGCCAGCAGCCGCGGUAAUACGGAGGGUGCAAGCGUUGUUCGGAAUUACUGGGCGUAAAGGGCGCGUAGGUGGUUGUGUAAGUCAGAUGUGAAAGCCCGAGGCUUAACUUCGGAACUGCAUCUGAUACUGCAUGACUUGAGUGCAGCAGAGGGAAACGGAAUUCCUGGUGUAGAGGUGAAAUUCGUAGAUAUCAGGAGGAACACCGGUGGCGAAGGCGGUUUCCUGGGCUGACACUGACACUGAGGCGCGAAAGCGUGGGUAGCAAACAGGAUUAGAUACCCGAGUAGUCAAC